Molecule: ribosomal RNA, 492 nt
Filed under: uncultured bacterium
Lineage: Bacteria
Description: partial 16S ribosomal RNA
Rfam family: Bacterial small subunit ribosomal RNA
Source: RNAcentral
AGUGAACGCUGGCGGUAGGCCUAACACAUGCAAGUCGAACGGCAGCACAGUAAGAGCUUGCUCUUACGGGUGGCGAGUGGCGGACGGGUGAGGAAUACAUCGGAAUCUACUUUUUCGUGGGGGAUAACGUAGGGAAACUUACGCUAAUACCGCAUACGACCUACGGGUGAAAGCAGGGGAUCUUCGGACCUUGCGCGAUUGAAUGAGCCGAUGUCGGAUUAGCUAGUUGGCGGGGUAAAGGCCCACCAAGGCGACGAUCCGUAUCUGGUCUGAGAGGAUGAUCAGCCACACUGGAACUGAGACACGGUCCAGACUCCUACGGGAGGCAGCAGUGGGGAAUAUUGGACAAUGGGCGCGAGCCUGAUCCAGCCAUACCGCGUGGGUGAAGAAGGCCUUCGGGUUGUAAAGCCCUUUUGUUGGGAAAGAAAAGCAGCAGGUUAAUACCCCGCUGUUCUGACGGUACCCAAAGAAUAAGCACCGGCUAACUUCGUG